GACGAACGCUGGCGGCGUGCCUAAUACAUGCAAGUAGAACGCUGAAGGAGGAGCUUGCUUCUCUGGAUGAGUUGCGAACGGGUGAGUAACGCGUAGGUAACCUGCCUGGUAGCGGGGGAUAACUAUUGGAAACGAUAGCUAAUACCGCAUAAUAGUAGAUGUUGCAUGACAUUUUCUUAAAAGGUGCAAUUGCAUCACUACCAGAUGGACCUGCGUUGUAUUAGCUAGUUGGUGGGGUAACGGCUCACCAAGGCGACGAUACAUAGCCGACCUGGGAGGGUGAUCGGCCCACAUGGGACUGGGACACCGCCCAGGCUUCUACGGGAGGCAGCAGUAGGGAAUCAUUGGAAAUGGACGGAAGGCUGACCGAGCAAAGCCGCGUGAGUGAAGAAGGUUUUCGGAUCGUAAAGCUCUGUUGUAAGAGAAGAACGAGUGUGAGAGUGGAAAGUUCACACUGUGACGGUAUCUAACCAGAAAGGGACGGCUAACUACGUG
Molecule: ribosomal RNA, 495 nt
Filed under: uncultured bacterium
Lineage: Bacteria
Description: partial 16S ribosomal RNA
Rfam family: Bacterial small subunit ribosomal RNA
Source: RNAcentral